GCUCUGGAUCCGUUACCUACGGCGAGUGACCGGGAUGAGCUCAAAUUUGAAAUCUGGCGUCUUUCAGGCGUCCGAGUUGUAAUCUAUAGAGGCGUUUUCCGCGCCGGACCGCGUCCAAGUCUCUUGGAAUAGAGUAUCAAAGAGGGUGACAAUCCCGUACUUGACGCGACAACCGGUGCUCUGUGAUACGUUCUCAAUGAGUCGAGUUGUUUGGGAAUGCAGCUCUAAAUGGGUGGUAAAUUCCAUCUAAGGCUAAAUAUUGGCGAGAGACCGAUAGCGAACAAGUACCGUGAGGGAAAGAUGAAAAGCACUUUGGAAAGAGAGUUAAACAGCACGUGAAAUUGUUAAAAGGGAAACGAUUGAAGUCAGUCGUGUGGGAAGUAUUCAGCCGUCUCUGGCGGUGUAUUUGCUUCUCACGGGUCAACAUCAGUUUGAUCCGGUAGAAAAAGGCGGGAAGAAGGUGGCACCCUCGGGUGUGUUAUAGCUUCCUGUCAUAUGUGCCGGACCAGACUGAGGAACGCAGCUUGCAGCAAUGCCGGGGUUCGCCCACGUACAAGCUUAGGAUGUUGACAUAAUGGCUUUAAACGACCCGUCUUGAACCACGGGACCCAA
This 612-nucleotide ribosomal RNA is filed under the name Vishniacozyma carnescens. Its description in RNAcentral is "partial large subunit ribosomal RNA". It matches the Rfam family "Eukaryotic large subunit ribosomal RNA", at positions 68 to 664 of the family's 3401-position model. The record is from RNAcentral. Lineage: Eukaryota; Fungi; Basidiomycota; Tremellomycetes; Tremellales; Bulleribasidiaceae.